CGAUGCUUCUGGAGCUUUUUUUCAUCGCCCCGAUAAAUCGGACCACCUGGAUAUCGGCAAAAAAUAAAAGUUGGAGCGUCGCGCGGAAACAUUAGAAAGCUCGAUGCUUUUUGCGUCUCAUCUCCACUCGGAAAAUCUACGUAUAUUCUUUUCAAUUUCUCAAAUUCACGGCAGAGGCUUUUCCUCGCUUUUUUUUCAUCGAGAAUCCAUAGCGAUUGGCAGAAAACAGUUCUUCAAGAAUCUGAAAAACUUUCAUCACUAUUCGUAACUAUGGUCAAUUUGAAGCAAAAAAUUUACCAAAGGGUAUCGCGAUACCUCCAUUUCAAGAGGCAAAACUGGCUUUUUUCCGAUUACCAACCGCAUAGACGAGAAAUACUCUACUCUGAAGUUUACGUUGAUUACAAGAAACGGAAAAGAAACUAUGGUCGUAUACACUAACAACAGGAUCUCAAAGGUUCGUUAUUUAUAAUUAAGACGGUGUUUGUGUACCGGAUGACGAGUGCAGAGUAUUAUUAUUGUUAUUAUUAUUGUUGUUGUUAUUAUUAUCGUUAUGAUUGUUAUCAUCAAUAUUAUCACAUUCCUCCAUUCCAUUAUUAUUAUUAAGACAUUCCUAGAUCGAUGUAUCCACCGGUUCCACCACACAGUAUACAUACAUAGCUAAAUGUACAUAAAAAUAAACAAAUAAAUGGAUAAAAAAAAUCAAUCGAAAUACUUUCUAUACUUCUAGUUACGUGGGAAAUAGUAAUUCUAUGUUUAUAGAAAGACUGAAAUGAAAGCUCUAGAUCGCACGCGUACGUAAUGUAAAACUAUGUAGGUUUGUAAUAAUCUAAUAUAAUAAUGAAAGGCUGGGUUCAAACUGUCAAAUAUGCAUUACUAGAUUUGAUUGAAAAAAAAGGACAACCCAUAUUG
This is a long non-coding RNA of Athalia rosae (coleseed sawfly), 909 nucleotides long. RefSeq lists it as uncharacterized. NCBI's taxonomy places the organism in Eukaryota, Metazoa, Arthropoda, Insecta, Hymenoptera, Athaliidae. The record is from RefSeq and is a predicted model, not a curated record. The transcript is spliced from 3 exons.